CGGCAUGUAGCGCAGCCUGGUAGCGUACCGUCAUGGGGUGGCGGGGGUCGGAGGUUCAAAUCCUCUCAUGCCGACCA
RNAcentral lists this transfer RNA (77 nucleotides) under Candidatus Palibaumannia cicadellinicola. Its description in RNAcentral is "tRNA-Pro (GGG) (tRNA-Pro-GGG-1-1)". It matches the Rfam family "tRNA". Rfam says of the family: Transfer RNA (tRNA) molecules are approximately 80 nucleotides in length. Their secondary structure includes four short double-helical elements and three loops (D, anti-codon, and T loops). Lineage: Bacteria; Pseudomonadati; Pseudomonadota; Gammaproteobacteria. The record is from RNAcentral.